CCUGUCUUUGUGAUUGUCUCCACCCCCUCCAUGUGUCGCCCAUCUUCCCUAUUAUCCCCUGUGUAUUUAUACCUGUGUUCUCUGUUUGUCUGUUGCCAGUUUGUCUUGUUUGUCAAGCUUACCAGCGUUUGUCCUGUCAGCUCCUGUCUUUUCCCAGCCUCUCUUUUUCUCGCCCUCCUGGUUUUUGACCCUUGCCUGUCCGGACCCUGAACCCGCCCGCCUGACCACUCUGCCUGCCCCUGAGCCUGCCUGCCGUCCUGUACCUUUGCCCCUAUCUGGAUUACUGACCUCUGCCUGACCUGAGCCUGCCUGCCUGCCGUCCUGUACCUUUGCCUCAGUUGCUGUAAUAAACAUUGUUACUUUGACACGGUCUGCAUCUGGGUCUUGCCUUAUCCUGAUAAGAAUAUGCAGGCUAUAAGAAUAUGUUGAAGGCUAGCUCUAUUGGGUGCAGAUGACUGAACUACUCACUUUUGUGUCAGUCUGCAGAUAAACAGACGAGGAGCCAUACAAAAGUAUGUCUAUUGGUAUUUUAUGCUGAUCACAUUUACCAUCCUCCUCCCUUACCUCUUCAAUGAAUAUCCCAUAGGCCUCUACAUUAUGGACAAGGUAUGUGUAUGAAAUGUAUGAAAUGUAUCACAAAAACCAAGGUAUGAAUACUGUCAUGUGCAUGUUUUGUUAAUCAUCUGUAUAUUGAAAAUGUUUUGGAGUCACAGACUUCACCCUCCCUAUAUCUCUGAACAUAACAGGAAACAUGUUCGAUCACCAUGCACUACAAAAUCACUCUAGCUAUGGAUACGGAGAACAUCAACACGCCAGAGGAUAUACCCAUUAUACUUGGGUCUCUGCUGGGAGUUUACCUCAAAUUUGGAUUUUUUUAUUCUGCUUUGCCACUAAAAUCAUAAACACUGACACCUAAAAUAUUGUGUUAUUGUUGUUGUUGUUAUGCGUAUUAAUAAUAAUGGGGGGGGGGGGGGGGGGUUGAAAAACUUACCCCAAAAGGUUCUUCAAAAGGUUCUUCGUGGAAUCAUUAACCUCUUACAUCUAGACGUUCCGCUAGCGGAACACCUGCUCCAAUAUCCAAUGAUAGGCGUGGCGCGAAUUACAAAUUCCUCAAAAAUACAAAAACUUCAAUUUUUCAAACAUAUGACUAUUUCACAGCAUUUUAAAGACAAGACUCUCCUUUAUCUAAC
RNAcentral lists this long non-coding RNA (1190 nucleotides) under Salmo salar (Atlantic salmon). RNAcentral's name for it is "lncRNA (ENSSSAG00000091182.1)". Lineage: Eukaryota; Metazoa; Chordata; Actinopteri; Salmoniformes; Salmonidae. The record is from RNAcentral.